This 72-nucleotide transfer RNA is filed under the name Nippostrongylus brasiliensis. It matches the Rfam family "tRNA". Rfam says of the family: Transfer RNA (tRNA) molecules are approximately 80 nucleotides in length. Their secondary structure includes four short double-helical elements and three loops (D, anti-codon, and T loops). Further hydrogen bonds mediate the characteristic L-shaped molecular structure. tRNAs have two regions of fundamental functional importance: the anti-codon, which is responsible for specific mRNA codon recognition, and the 3' end, to which the tRNAs corresponding amino acid is attached (by aminoacyl-tRNA synthetases). tRNAs cope with the degeneracy of the genetic code in two manners: having more than one tRNA (with a specific anti-codon) for a particular amino acid; and 'wobble' base-pairing, i.e. permitting non-standard base-pairing at the 3rd anti-codon position. The record is from Rfam by way of RNAcentral. Lineage: Eukaryota; Metazoa; Nematoda; Chromadorea; Rhabditida; Heligmosomidae.
ACAUCGGUAACACAGUGGUCAGUGCAGUCUGCCGGAAAUAAGAAGACACGGGUUCCAUUCCCGUCCGAUGUC